RNAcentral lists this ribosomal RNA (460 nucleotides) under uncultured bacterium. Its description in RNAcentral is "partial 16S ribosomal RNA". It matches the Rfam family "Bacterial small subunit ribosomal RNA", at positions 338 to 795 of the family's 1533-position model. The record is from RNAcentral.
CCUACGGGUGGCAGCAGUGAGGAAUAUUGGUCAAUGGGCGCGAGCCUGAACCAGCCAAGUAGCGUGAAGGAUGACUGCCCUACGGGUUGUAAACUUCUUUUAUAAAGGAAUAAAGUGCGGCACGUGUGCCUUUUUGCAUGUACCUUAUGAAUAAGGACCGGCUAACUCCGUGCCAGCAGCCGCGGUAAUACGGAGGAUCCGAGCGUUAUCCGGAUUUAUUGGGUUUAAAGGGAGCGUAGAUGGGUUGUUAAGUCAGUUGUGAAAGUUUGCGGCUCAACCGUGGAAUUGCAAGUGAUACUGGCAGUCUUGAGUACAGUUGAGGUAGGCGGAAUUCGUGGUGUAGCGGUGAAAUGCUUAGAUAUCACGAAGAACUCCGAUUGCGAAGGCAGCUUACUAAACUGCAACUGACAUUGAUGCUCGAAAGUGUGGGUAUCAAACAGGAUUAGAUACCCGAGUAGUC